GUCUAAGGCCAUGCCACCCUGAAUAAGCCCGAUCUCAUCUGAUCUCGGAAGCUAAGAAGGGUCUGGUCUGGUUAGUACUUGGAUUGGAGGCCACUUAGGAAGACCAGGUGCUGUAGGUG
Molecule: ribosomal RNA, 119 nt
Filed under: Pteropus alecto (black flying fox)
Lineage: Eukaryota; Metazoa; Chordata; Mammalia; Chiroptera; Pteropodidae
Source: RNAcentral